GGUUUCUCUGUGUAGCCCUGGCUGUCCUGGAACUCACUCUGUAGACCAGGCUGGCCUUGAACUCAUAGAUUCGCCUGCCUCUGCCUCCCGAGUGCUGGGAUUAAAGGUGUGUACCACCA
This 119-nucleotide microRNA precursor is filed under the name Microtus ochrogaster (prairie vole). RNAcentral describes it as "miRNA (ENSMOCG00000006886.1)". Lineage: Eukaryota; Metazoa; Chordata; Mammalia; Rodentia; Cricetidae. The record is from RNAcentral.